RNAcentral lists this ribosomal RNA (480 nucleotides) under uncultured bacterium. RNAcentral describes it as "partial 16S ribosomal RNA". It matches the Rfam family "Bacterial small subunit ribosomal RNA", at positions 28 to 507 of the family's 1533-position model. The record is from RNAcentral.
GACGAACGCUGGCGGCGUGCUUAACACAUGCAAGUCGAACGAUGAAGAAAAGAAUCGAAGCUUCGGCAGAAAUUCAUUUCGGAUUAGUGGCAGACGGGUGAGUAACGCGUGAGCAACCUACCUCUUACAAAGGGAUAGCCUCGGGAAACCGGGAUUAAUACCAUAUAACAUUGCGACGAAGCAUUUCGAUGCAAUCAAAGCUACGGCGGUAAGAGAUGGGCUCGCGUCCCAUUAACCGGAUGGUGAGGUAACGGCUCACCAUAGUGACGAUGGGUAACCGGCCUGAGAGGGUGAACGGUCACACUGGGACUGAGACACGGUCCAGACUCCUACGGGAGGCAGCAGUGGGGAAUAUUGCACAAUGGAGGGAACUCUGAUGCAGCGACGCCGCGUGAGUGAUGAAGGAAUUCGUUUCGUAAAACUCUGUUCUAUGGGAAGAAAAGGACUGUACCAUAGGAGAAAGCUCCGGCUAAAUACGUG